GGCUCCGUAGUGAAGUUCAUAGUGAGUUGCAAGCUCGCUGAUGCACAUCGACCAUGUGCCGGGGUCU
RNAcentral lists this transfer RNA (67 nucleotides) under Machaerirhynchus nigripectus. RNAcentral's name for it is "tRNA-Cys". Lineage: Eukaryota; Metazoa; Chordata; Aves; Passeriformes; Dicruridae. The record is from RNAcentral.